Non-coding RNA from Myodes glareolus (Bank vole), 1832 nucleotides. Lineage: Eukaryota; Metazoa; Chordata; Mammalia; Rodentia; Cricetidae. The record is from RefSeq and is a predicted model, not a curated record.
CCGGGCUCCACUUCCGCACCCCUCCGACUUUAACCCGGGUCACUGUCUCAGAGCCGGAAGAUGAAGUCGCCAUAAAUAACUUUUCUGUGAAUUCUUCCACAGGAAGUUCAGCCUGAUGUGAUCCUGCUUGUCAGCGCUGAAAUGAAAACAAAAUACCAGGAGGCCCACUGCGGGGGUUUCUCGGGCAGAGGGGACGGACGAGGACCUGUCAGCUUUACUGGAAAAUAAAACAUGAGGUCUUGGAGCCGGAACAGUGAGUCUACAGGCCUCUCAGGAUCCUGCUGCAGUUGAGACUCUACUUAGAAAUCUUCAGGAAGAAGUCAACCCACGAUGCCAGCUUCCCUAGGACCCCACCUCUGUGCCCCCUGCUGACUGAAGCUGAAGCAAAGCCGCUCCCAGCUGAGAAACACGCUAGGGCCUGGCUCUCAGGGACAUGGAGUGGCUCAAGCCACUUCCAGUUUUUGUAGUUCCUGCUGCAUCAAAAGGAACAAGAAACGACUCCCACAGUGUCAGCUCAACACUGUGCACGAGAGCUCAGUCCUGGUGACACGCCAUGCAGUUUCAGCUGGAAGGUGAUCUAAUUUGGUUCCCUUUCUCUCUCUUUUUCUUUCUUUCUUUCUUCCUCUCUCUCUCUCUCUCUUUCUCUCUUUCUUUUCUUCCUUCCUUCCUUUUUUUUUUCUUUUUGAGACAGUCUUAUAUAGCCCAGAUUGGCACUCUCCAAGUGACUGAGGCUGGCCUUGAACCUCUAAAACCUCUGAAGCCUUGAACCUCUGUACCUCUCAAGGGCUACAGUUAUAGUCCUGUAGCUCCAGGCUUGGUGGAGUGUUAGGGUUUACAUCUCUGACUGGCAGGUGAGGUCAGGAAAGGUUGUUCCUGAACCAGAAUAAAUGUUGAAAUCCAGUUCCUUCAAGGGAUUCGUCAGGCACAGUCCGAAGUGCUGUGCAGGCUGCAUGCAUGCUUCCAGUGUCACCGUAGGGAUGACACCAUGGCCAAUUGGGAACCUUAGCCCUGCAGAAGCAGGCUUGGCAAAGAGAUGCUCACUAUGUCAUGGCUGGUCCUCGCCCAGGGCUGCAGGCUGCAACCACCUGGAGUCUGGAAAGUUUUGAUACCAAGACUGCACUGUGGAGCGGUAAAGUGAGAACCAGACUGAGAGAAUAGGCUGCUGUGUGUGCUUGUGCAACUGUGUGCGUGUGUGGAAAACCUUGAUACCAAGACUACACUCUGGAGCAGUGAAGUAAGAACCAGGUGGAGAGAAUAGGCUGCUGUGUGCGUGCUUGCGUGCAUGUGUGCAUACAGUGUGUGUGCAUUUGUGUGUGUGUGUGUGUGUGUGUGUGUGUGUGCAUGCAUGUGUGCAUGUGCACUGCACAUGCAUGCAUGUGAGUGUCUCUGCAGGUGUGUACUCCAGAAAUCAACACUGGAUGUCUUCUUGAAUUGCUUACCAUCUUAUUUUUUUGACAGUGGCUUUCACUGAGCCCGGAUCUUACUGAUUCACUAGCCAGCAAGUGAGCUCUGUCCUCCCUACCUCCCCAAGCUGGGUCUAUAUAUGCACUAGGGGGCCUGACUUUUGUGUCAGUGGUGGGGGUCAGGCUCAGGUCCUCAAAUUUACAUAGUAAACACUUUGCAGGCUGUACCAUUUUUCCAGCCCCCAAAAGUUUGGGGUUUUUUUGUUUGUUGUUUUGUUUUGUGUUUUUUAAAGGUAGAUUUUCAUCAUGCAACCUUGGCCAGCCUUGAUCUCACAGAGAUCUGUAAGUUCUGACUAGGCCAGAACAAGACCGGAAAGGGCUUAGUGGAGUUUGAGGAAGUGAAAGAGGCCUGGCACCCAGGAAGAAGAG